UCGCACAAUCUCCUUCAGCUGUUGAGUACAGGAAGUGACGAAACUGCACUAGAACAUUAGCGACAUCCCAAUAUCAGGGAUAAAGAGUCACACGUCUGCUCAUCCUUGUCUUUCACACAGGGAACUUAUUCUGAUCACUUGAGACUAUUUUAUAAACGAACAGACUUCGGACCAAACAGAAGAAUUCAGGGGUAGUAGUACAAAUAAAGUAACUCGACCUCAUCAUCAUUGGGACACACAGCGGAGGUCCGAAUAAAGCAGCGGGAUAAGGACAUCUGUAUCCGUUACAUAAGAUUGGGCCACUGCUGAAAAUUUAUCCUCAUCCAGAGGAGUGGAAACCCAAAACUUGAGCCAUGGGGGAUUAUUACAAGAUCCUGGGUGUGAUGAAAAAUGCAUCCCAUGACGAUAUAAAGAAAGCGUA
This is a long non-coding RNA of Sinocyclocheilus grahami, 421 nucleotides long. RefSeq lists it as uncharacterized. Lineage: Eukaryota; Metazoa; Chordata; Actinopteri; Cypriniformes; Cyprinidae. The record is from RefSeq and is a predicted model, not a curated record. The transcript has 2 exons.